CGCCUCUCGACGACAUAGCAUGAGAGGUCCCGCCUGCCCAGUGACGAACGUUGUUUAACGGCCGCGGUAUUUUGACCGUGCGAAGGUAGCGCAAUCACUUGUCCUUUAAAUGAGGACCUGUAUGAAUGGCAUAACGAGGGCUUAGCUGUCUCCCUUUUCCAGUCAAUGAAAUUGAUCUCCCCGUGCAGAAGCGGGGAUAAUAACAUAAGACGAGAAGACCCUGUGGAGCUUUAGGCGAUUAAACGGCCCAUUUGUGGGCGGACUUGCCCUACAGGCAAGCCGGCCCCCCGUGGCUAAAUACCAUUUAACGUCUUUGGUUGGGGCGACCGUGGGGAAAAGAAAAACCCCCAUGAGGACCGGGGACCUUCCCCAGAGCCGAGAGCCUACCACUCAAAGCAUCAGAACCUCUGACCGUAAUGAUCCGGCCGACAGGCCGAUCAACGAACCGAGUUACCCCAGGGAUAACAGCGCAAUCCCCUCUCAGAGCCCAUAUCGACGAGGGGGUUUACGACCUCGAUGUUGGAUCAGGACAUCCUAAUGGUGCAGCCGCUAUUAAGGGUUCGUUUGUUCAACGAUUAAUAGUCCU
RNAcentral lists this ribosomal RNA (586 nucleotides) under Chlorophthalmus albatrossis. RNAcentral's name for it is "partial 16S ribosomal RNA". It matches the Rfam family "Bacterial large subunit ribosomal RNA", at positions 1816 to 2597 of the family's 2925-position model. Lineage: Eukaryota; Metazoa; Chordata; Actinopteri; Aulopiformes; Chlorophthalmidae. The record is from RNAcentral.